AAGCCAAAGUUGUCCCCCGGGAUGGCUGAGGUUUAUGUCGAGUUGCUACCAGCUUUCUACAGAGCCAAACACCUGGAUAUAUGCCAAACAAAACUGUGAGACAAAAGGAGCUCAACUUAUGAUUUUGAAUGAUGAAACAGAACAGAGACCUUUCAUUGGAGGAAUGGUAAAAAUCUGGAUCGGCCUCUAUGUUGAAACAGACAGUUAUACCUCAUGUUGGAACAUGAAGGAUGUAAAUGGAAGACUGCUGAAAUAUAGUGCAUCAAACACCCCGAAACCAAAAUUUUGGACUGGUCUCUCCCAAAGUUGUGUUUACAUUGAUCAGAGUCUUCCAUGCAUGAGCUCUUGGUCUACGGGCACCUGUAGGGAAAAGUUCUAUUGGAUCUGUGAAAAACAAAUGAGCACCACUGGUGUUUGACUCCAUUCACCAUGUGCAUGUCUGAGAGGAAAUCUCAGUUUAAAUCCAUCUCUCUUUUAACUAGGCCGGCAAAUUUUUAAUUGGAAAAGCUUCCUGGAUGGGAAGCGAAACGUCUUAAAACUUGGGGGGAAAAAAAAAGACUAGUUGUUUGUUUUUUAACUUUUUUUGGAUGACUAUGACCUGGAUGACUGAAAUUCUUCACCAGCAUACUAACCCAAACUUUUUUAUUAUGGACAUUGCAUAUGGGUCUAUGAACAAUGAUUCACAUUUAAACAUUUUCUCUACUCAAAAUCAUCAAUUGCUGCAAAUAAGAUCAUGAUCUCUUAGUUUUUUUUCUUAGAAGACACUAUUGACCUGUUGCUAGACUUUUGACUUUGCAUCUUUUCUGGACAGAUUUAUAUUUCUGUAGCAAGCCAUGCAUGUAUACUCUUUGCAUUUUAUUCCUUUAAAUCUACUCUCCCAGUGAUCCUCUGUUUAGCUAUCUUCUAAGCCUUGUUCUUUCCAGUUAAAGCGGAUGCUUUUGUUUUCAAUGUUAAAUUCUGCUUUCUCAGUUGCACAGUUCAAGGUAAAGAUAAACAAAAACUUCUGCUGAAUCAACAAGUCAAUUCUUGCAUUCUCUUCUUCCAUGUUCAAAAAUCACAAGGGAAUUUGUAAGACUGUAUAUUCCUACCCAUUACAAACUUCAAUCAGAGUUGAUCUACUUCAACUAUUUACAAAGUCCCUUUUCCUCAGUUUCAUUGGUUGGGAUAACUUAAAUAUGUCAAAUGUCACCAUUUAGAAAUAUAAAUAGAGUUAGACUAGUUUAAUAACAUUAAGGCUAAGAUUUGACUGCUAUUGAAUCGAUGUAUGGGUAUGAUUGGAUUUUAUUGUACAAUUUAAAUUAAAAUAGCACAUUUAGAAAUGUUGAAAAAGAAUUUAUCCUGAGCCUUCAAAGCUGCAUGGAGAACAAACAUGUGGAAGUAUAGUGUUAGUUAUUUGUUUCCACCAGAGGGCGGUAUUGCUUUAUAUUCCAGGGCCAGGGGUCUGCAGCCCCAAGGGCUAAACACCCUCCACAAUGUCUCUUAAUAACUUUGGCUCAUCUAGAUUUCGAUUUUUUUCCAAUUCCCUUCUUAAAGUCCCCAUCCUCCUGGAAACAGUAAGCCAUCAUUCACUCUGAAAACUACAAACCAAUAGUUCCUUCAUCAGGUGACAUCCAUUUUCUCCCCUUCAGAGACUCGUUUCCUGACAAUCUGGCAA
Molecule: long non-coding RNA, 1654 nt
Organism: Cyprinodon variegatus (sheepshead minnow)
Lineage: Eukaryota; Metazoa; Chordata; Actinopteri; Cyprinodontiformes; Cyprinodontidae
Exons: 3
Source: RefSeq, a predicted model, not a curated record